This is a long non-coding RNA of Austrofundulus limnaeus, 1171 nucleotides long. RefSeq lists it as uncharacterized. The record is from RefSeq and is a predicted model, not a curated record. Lineage: Eukaryota; Metazoa; Chordata; Actinopteri; Cyprinodontiformes; Rivulidae. The transcript is spliced from 3 exons.
AAUAAGACAUGAACGAAGAGGAAAAUGGCAGACUUGGUUCACUUAGCUGUAAUCCUGGUGCAGCUGCAAAGUUAAAAAGGUUCAGCUUGGUUUUUGUUUUUACGCAGAGCGCAUCGGAUCCUUCAAUCACCGAGGCCAAUUUUCUUCUUCUCUUCCACACACACACACACACACACAAACACACACACAUAAGAUAUGGCACGUGGUCCGGUGACGACACACGCCCUCCUCCUGGUCCGGGUCCAGCCUGCUGCUCUCCUCUCUGUUGAACCAGGCAAACUGCAGUUGUUUCAUGGAUUUGUCAACAAUGGGACAUCAGCAGUGCUGCUUCCCGCUGAUUUCUGUGUGCGUCCGUCAUAGACCAUUCAUCCGUGGCAGGGGGAGGAGGCGGAUAGAGGUGUGUAUGUGUGUGUGUGUGCGUGGAAGAGAAGAAGAAAAUUGGCCUCGGUGAUUGAAGGAUCCGAUGCGCUCUGCGUAAAAACAAAAACCAAGCUGAACCUUUUUAACUUUGCAGCUGCACCAGGAUUACAGCUAAGUGAACCAAGUCUGCCAUUUUCCUCUUCGUUCAUGUCUUAUUGUGAGAUUAUGCACGAAAAUGUAGUUUUAAAAUGUAUAUUUUACCCUUUUUCUUUCUUUUUUUUGCACGCGCGCCUCAACGUCCUCAGCGUGUUGCUCCACGCAGCGAACGCAGAAAAAAACACAUUAAAUCUGUUUAUUCCCGCAGGAUCAGCUGAAGGUGGGGAGCAGCAGCAGCAGCAGCAGCAGGAUGAGGAGAAAUAAAGAAUUUCCUUAAAGAGUUGAGAAAAGGUGCCGACGACUCCGAUUAUUGUUUGAUUUUUACGCAUAAAAACCAGAAAGCGCGCGCGCUUGGAGGCGCGCGCUGCGCUCCGACAAGAUUUGCAGCCAACAUUUGAACCGUGGAAGCGCUUCUUUCAUGUGCUGACACCCGGGCUAACAGAGGGCCUCAUUAAUGAUGCGCGUUGGGUUCAGAGGAGGGAAACGCGGCUCCCGGUGCACCGUGUUAAUCUCUCGGUGACCUGAGAGCUCCAGGAGGUCCGUUAAUGUGGACUGGAGUCCUGCUCCGCCCCGCCGAGCCAAGAGAUUCUGGGGAUUGGACAACCUCCUUUCUUCCGCCUCUAUCUGUGUGUUUGUGAACAGACAGGUGCAACCG